Molecule: ribosomal RNA, 279 nt
Filed under: uncultured bacterium
Lineage: Bacteria
Description: partial 16S ribosomal RNA
Rfam family: Bacterial small subunit ribosomal RNA
Source: RNAcentral
UGCCAGCCGCCGAGGUAAUACUGGGGGAGCGAGCGUUGUUCGGAAUCACUGGGCGUAAAGCGUGCGCAGGCGGAUUGGAAAGUCAGACGUGAAAUCCCAAGGCUCAACCUUGGAACUGCGUUUGAAACUUCCUUUCUAGAGUAUGGUAGAGGUUGGGAGAAUUCCUAGUGUAGAGGUGAAAUUCGUAGAUAUUAGGAGGAAUACCAGUGCCGUAGGCGCCCAACUGGACCAUUACUGACGCUCAGGCACGAAAGCGUGGGGAGCAAACAGGAUUAGAUA